This 483-nucleotide ribosomal RNA is filed under the name Triticum aestivum (bread wheat). Its description in RNAcentral is "partial small subunit ribosomal RNA". Lineage: Eukaryota; Viridiplantae; Streptophyta; Magnoliopsida; Poales; Poaceae. The record is from RNAcentral.
AUGAUACUAUACCUUGAUGCGCUUGUCCAUGACAUCCCAGUAAGCAAAUGCGCGAUACGAUCGAAUGCAUGGGAUAGUACUCUAAUUUCCAAGGUGAUCAAGAAGGAUACCAUCUCUCCUGGUGUGUUCGGCCAAUUACAACUUAAAGAGGAGUAUAGAGGCACGGGGCAGACACCACUGUUUGGUGGAAUUUUGCAAGUUGAAGCAUUCGUGUCAUCCAAGUUACCAAUAACCUACAAUCCGCAGAAAAAGGCAAAGUUUGCGAAAGUGCAGCCAUCAAUGCAAACCGGGGCGUCACGCUGUGCUCCAAAAAGAAAGAGACGGGGGUCAACUAUACAAGAAGAAGAGGAGUUUGUUGAGGAUGAGUCAGAAGAAGAUGAGGAAAUGGAAGCAGCGAUAGAUGUUGACAAUGACGGGGACACAGAUGCGGAUGAAUCAGAGGAGGAAGACAAGGAUGAGGAUGACAAUGAAGAAGAUGCAUAG